GUUGACCUCGGAUCAGGUAGGGAUACCCGCUGAACUUAAGCAUAUCAAUAAGCGGAGGAAAAGAAACCAACAGGGAUUGCUCUAGUAACGGCGAGUGAAGCAGCAAUAGCUCAAAUUUGAAAUCUGGCGUCUUCGGCGUCCGAGUUGUAAUUUGUAGAGGAUGCUUCUGAGUAACCACCGACCUAAGUUCCUUGGAACAGGACGUCAUAGAGGGUGAGAAUCCC
Molecule: ribosomal RNA, 224 nt
Filed under: Cladosporium subuliforme
Lineage: Eukaryota; Fungi; Ascomycota; Dothideomycetes; Cladosporiales; Cladosporiaceae
Description: partial 28S ribosomal RNA
Rfam family: Eukaryotic large subunit ribosomal RNA
Source: RNAcentral